AUGCAAGUCGAGCGAGCUGAAUUCAAAGAUCCCUUCGGGGUGAUUUGUUGGACGCUAGCGGCGGAUGGGUGAGUAACACGUGGGCAAUCUGCCCUAAAGACUGGGAUACCACUUGGAAACAGGUGCUAAUACCGGAUAACAACAUGAAUCGCAUGAUUCAAGUUUGAAAGGCGGCGCAAGCUGUCACUUUAGGAUGAGCCCGCGGCGCAUUAGCUAGUUGGUGGGGUAAAGGCCUACCAAGGCAAUGAUGCGUAGCCGAGUUGAGAGACUGAUCGGCCACAUUGGGACUGAGACACGGCCCAAACUCCUACGGGAGGCAGCAGUAGGGAAUCUUCCACAAUGGACGCAAGUCUGAUGGAGCAACGCCGCGUGAGUGAAGAAGGUCUUCGGAUCGUAAAGCUCUGUUGUUGGUGAAGAAGGAUAGAGGCAGUAACUGGUCUUUAUUUGACGGUAAUCAACCAGAAAGUCACGGCUAACUACGUGCCAGCAGCCGCGGUAAUACGUAGGUGGCAAGCGUUGUCCGGAUUUAUUGGGCGUAAAGCGAGCGCAGGCGGAAUGAUAAGUCUGAUGUGAAAGCCCACGGCUCAACCGUGGAACUGCAUCGGAAACUGUCAUUCUUGAGUGCAGAAGAGGAGAGUGGAACUCCAUGUGUAGCGGUGGAAUGCGUAGAUAUAUGGAAGAACACCAGUGGCGAAGGCGGCUCUCUGGUCUGCAACUGACGCUGAGGCUCGAAAGCAUGGGUAGCGAACAGGAUUAGAUACCCUGGUAGUCCAUGCCGUAAACGAUGAGCGCUAGGUGUUGGGGACUUUCCCGGUCCUCAGUGCCGCAGCAAACGCAUUAAGCGCUCCGCCUGGGGAGUACGACCGCAAGGUUGAAACUCAAAGGAAUUGACGGGGCCCGCACAAGCGGUGGAGCAUGUGGUUAAUUCGAAGCAACGCGAGAACCUUACCAGGUCUUGACAUCCUGCGCUACACCUAGAGAUAGGUGGUUUCCCUUCGGGGACGCAGAGAACAGGUGGUGCAUGGCUGUCGUCAGCCUCGUGUCGUGAGAUGUGGGGUUA
Molecule: ribosomal RNA, 1060 nt
Filed under: Lactobacillus delbrueckii subsp. delbrueckii
Lineage: Bacteria; Bacillati; Bacillota; Bacilli; Lactobacillales; Lactobacillaceae
Description: bacterial SSU rRNA
Rfam family: Bacterial small subunit ribosomal RNA
Source: RNAcentral